This 253-nucleotide ribosomal RNA is filed under the name uncultured bacterium. RNAcentral's name for it is "partial 16S ribosomal RNA". It matches the Rfam family "Bacterial small subunit ribosomal RNA", at positions 524 to 776 of the family's 1533-position model. The record is from RNAcentral.
UACAGAGGGUGCAAGCGUUGUCCGGAAUUAUUGGGCGUAAAGAGCUCGUAGGCGGCCUGUUGCGUCCGCUGUGAAAGCCCGGGGCUUAACCCCGGGUCUGCAGUGGAUACGGGCAGGCUAGAGGUAGGUAGGGGAGAAUGGAAUUCCCGGUGUAGCGGUGAAAUGCGCAGAUAUCGGGAGGAACACCGGUGGCGAAGGCGGUUCUCUGGGCCUUACCUGACGCUGAGGAGCGAAAGCGUGGGGAGCGAACAGG